Molecule: long non-coding RNA, 746 nt
Filed under: Ictidomys tridecemlineatus (thirteen-lined ground squirrel)
Lineage: Eukaryota; Metazoa; Chordata; Mammalia; Rodentia; Sciuridae
Description: lncRNA (ENSSTOG00000033152.1)
Source: RNAcentral
CUCCGCCUCCUUUCCGAGCCGCGGAGGCGAGAUCCUCCGCUCUCCGCCAGGCGCAUGCGCGCUCGAGCGCCCGCGCACUGCCUGCCGGGAAUUGUAGUUUCGGUGAGGCGGGCCCGGCUAGUCCAGUGGCCGCGCUCCGGUGUCGCGGCCCCAGAAGGCCGAGGCGGAAGUGGAACGGCCACCCCGGAUGGCUUAAUGAUCCCCGAGGAUGGAGUGAACCAUGAGGAACUAGAGGCUGAGUUCUUGGCCUUGGUGGGGGAUCAGCCCCCAGCCCUAGAGAAGCUCAGAGGCAAAGGUCCCCUGCCCAUGGAGGCCAUUGAGAAGAUGGCCAGGUUGUGUAUGCGAGACCCAGACGAGGAGGAGGAGGAGGGGACGGACGACGAUGACGUGGAGGCCGACGACGCGCUGCUGGUGAGCGCCGAGCCCGGAGAGGCCUCUCCCUGGCCCCGUCCAGCGGCUGCGUGUCCACCCUGGCUGUCUCCCACAGGCGGAGCUGAACGAGGUCCUCGGGGAAGACGAGAAGGUGCUGGAGCCCCCGCCCCCUGUGGCCCAGCCGAAGCCCUCGGCCCCCCACCUGGGGCUGGAGGCCACCCUGCAGGAGCGCCUGGCCCUCUACCAGUCAGCCAUCGAAAGCGCCAGGCAAGCUGGGGACAGCGCCAAGACACGGCGCUACGACCGGGGGCUCAAGACGCUGGAAAACCUGCUGGCCUCCGUCCGGAAGGGCAAUGCCAUCGAUGAAGGGGACA